Brienomyrus brachyistius is the source of this 353-nucleotide long non-coding RNA. RefSeq lists it as uncharacterized. The transcript has 3 exons. The record is from RefSeq and is a predicted model, not a curated record. Lineage: Eukaryota; Metazoa; Chordata; Actinopteri; Osteoglossiformes; Mormyridae.
AGCAGUGAUGGUCACGGCCUUGGAAGUUGGUACGAUGCCACAGACGAUGUGGGAGAAUGGGAUGAAAGUUGGAGAACAGCGGUGGAAGAACGGAAUGAAUGACCGGAAGAAAGAGUUCGUGCAACAAUGAGGUGCUCCAGGCUGUGCAGAGGAAGGAGCACAUGGAGGCAGAUAGACUUCUAACAGGUGUAGCACAAGACAAAAGGAACCUCCCUUUCCCCUGGGAUCAAUGUUGUGCCUCAGGGUGGGGCCCCAGAGCCCAACCCCUCUGCAGUGGAAAACCGAAGCGAGCCAGAAUUGCACGGUAACUAGUCCCUCUUCAUAAUACAGUUCGAGUACGGCUCGGUUCCUGU